Molecule: non-coding RNA, 358 nt
Filed under: Pongo abelii (Sumatran orangutan)
Lineage: Eukaryota; Metazoa; Chordata; Mammalia; Primates; Hominidae
Source: RNAcentral
GAAAAGUGAAAGCAGAAUACCUGGUUAUCCUGAGGUCACUGUCUCCACACAUAGUGGUGUCCUUGAUGUUAGCUUGGGGCAAAAAGCCAGAGAAACGUUCUGAUUUCCAACAAGCUGGAACAGCUCUGCUGGUGAGGAGUGAAAGGAAACCCAGACUACCCAACUUCUCAUCUCUAUGGUCUUGGAGCAAGCUUGUGGUUGCAAUAGGAAUAGAAGGGACUUCCUUACUCCCAUCCUACCCUACCCCCUCAUCCUGCCUCAACCAGUCAUGCAGAGAGAUGCUGAAUGGCUGCCUGCUCUCAGGGGAAUGAUUUGUGGAGGUUUAAUUAAAAUAAUUUAAUCAAUCAAAUCCAACAAA